AUUUUAUUUGCCAAAUUUGUCAGUAAUACUUCAAUAAAGCUGAAGAAGAAAAUUUUAAGAAAACAACUCUGCCACGCCCUCACAUCUGUCCCUGACCAGUCCCCCUCCCAUGACACUUCCAGACCACCUGCUCUUCUCUCCCAUCCCUUUCACCACACCCUCCUCUCUUCCUGCUGAAGUCUGCAGAUCUCGAAUAAAAUCAAACAGCUGAUUCUUCCUCCCCUAGUUCUCAGUGCUAUUCGCAGCUAGGCCUUAGGAAGAACACCAUCAUUAACGCUGCCCAAAUGGGCUUGUAUUUUUAAAAAAGUACUUUUAAACCAAAUGAAUCUUUAACUGAAGGGUGAGUUUUGUUUUCAUAUAUUUGUUUUUGAGUGUUUUUGCUUUAUAGAGGGUAACAAUACUAGGACCUCCCUUCUAGAAAGAACUGGCCUAAAGGAGGGGCCUCCUUUUUGCCUCUCUGGCUUCUCAUUGAAUCUUCAAAUGUGAUUAUGGGUAGAAUUACAUUGGGAAGCUUACUAAAAACACAGAACAAGGGCCCCACUCACCAUCUCACUCAGAGUAAAAGCCAGAGUCCUUAGAAUUGCUCACAAGGCCCCACGCCAUCUGGCCCUCAUCUCCUCUUAUCAUUCGCCACAUGGCUCCCUCUGCUCCAGCCCAACUGGCCUCUCCUGUUGUUUCCUGAAUACAUCCUGCAUGUUCCUGCCUCAGUUAAGGGCCUUUGCACUUGCUCGGUCUGCGACACUUGUCCCUGCGGCUCACUCCCUCACCCUCUUCAGGUCUUUACUCAACUGGUAAUCUCAGUGAGGUCUUCUAAAGUUCUGCACCCAAUUUCAGUGGGGGGUGAGGGUGUUCCCUACCACCAAGCAAUUCUCCGGACACCAGCUGGGUGUCCUACAAUUCAACUCAAUUCUGACACUGUCUGCCCAGAAAUAGCAACAGAUCCACAGGUUAAGUGCCGGUCCCGCCACCCGAUACUCACAUACACUUCAGAUGACGGUGAGUCCAGGUUGUCACCUGUGCUUCUGACCGAAUGGCUAUAGAUUGGAGGUUCCAAUAACCCCCUCAUUGGGUUCGAUUAACUAGCUAGAGUGGCUCACAGAACUCAGAGAAACAUUUUACUGACUGGAUUGCCAGUUUCUUAUAAAAGGAUAUAACUCAGGAUGGAAGAGAUGUAUAAGGCAAGGCAUGGGGAAAGGGUGCAGAGGUGCCAUGCUCUCUCUGAGGGCACCACUCUCCUGAAUCUCACCAGCUCAGAAGCUCCCUGAACCCUGUUCUUCUGGGUUUUCAUGGAGGCUCCAUUACAGAGGUAUGAGUGACUGAAACUACAGGCCCUUGGCGAGUGACUCAACCUCAUCCCCUCUGGAGGUCAGGGAGAUAGGACCGAAAGUUCCAACCCUCUAAUCACAUGGUUGGUUCUCCUGGCAACCAGCCCCAUCCUUAGGUUCGGUACAAAAGUCACUUCAUUAAUAUAACAAAAGACACCUCUGUCCCUCUCAUCACUCAGGAAAUUCCAAGGGAAUUUAACAGUUCUAUGCCAGCAACAGUGGAGAAGACCAAAUAUUUAUUAUAAUCACAGUGUCACACCUUCCCUGGACACUCUACCAAAAACUGCCACUCUCCCAAUACUUCCCAUUCCCUUCCCAGACUGACCAUUCUCUUUCACACUCACCAUUCAGUUAACAUAUGUUUUUCUUGUUUACUUUGACUAUUGUCUAUCUUGCCCACUAGAAUGUUAAAUUCCACUAUGGUAUUGUUGAAAGAACUAGGCCCAAGAUGGAGCCGCUCCUGUCCAGAGAGCCAAACCGAAACUUAGAUAACUUUCAUGUCCCUGUAAUGCUCUGCUUGACCAGAAACGCAGGCUAUCCAUUCAGCCAAUCCCCAAAUGCCCAGCCAACUCUGGGCUCUAGACUUACUUCCUUGUUCCUUGUCACCCCAAACAAGGCUGACUGGGGUGGCCCCAGCCCAUCAGAUGUUUUCUAUUUUCCUCUUUUGUUUGUUCUUUAUUUUUUAUCCUAUAAAAGCUUCCUGCCUUCCACCCCAUUUUGCUGACAGAAUGAAGACUGUCCACUUCAAGAAGUGUUAAAGUUUGUGUGUAUCACAUAAACUGUGGUUUUUAAUCAUUUUUCAAUAGUAUACAUUUUUAUUUUAGUCGCUGCUGUUUCCCCAGCAGCUAGAACAGUUCCUGGCACAUAGACGGCACUUAAUCAGUACCAUACAAGUGAUGACUGGAUUUCAUUUUAUCCUCACGCACUCCUGUGAGCACAUUGUUUCAUUCACUCCAUUAUUAUUCUGCGAGGCCUCAUGCUGUGAGUGGGGAACCCAGCUGAUGACCAUGAGAUAGACACAAGGCUCCCUCCUUCACAGGGUUCACAGGAUUUUGAAAUAAAGCAAACAAACAAGUACCUACAAUAACAAACUCCGAUAAGCCUAGAAACGGAAAGUACAGAGUGUUCCACACCAGGUGCUCUGCGUACGUCAUCUCAGUUGCCUCUCACAAGGGCAUCCUGAAGCAGCUGUUCUGCAGGAAACUAAAACCCAGAGAGCAGAAGUAUUCUGUCCAGACCUCAGACUCAAACCCAGAUCUGCUUCACUCUAAACCCCAUGGUCACUUAGGUCUCCCUUACGUUCGACCCCUAGAGAGGAAGUUAGUUACACUCUUGAGCUACAGGCCAAAAGGCAAUGAGAAAUUUAGGCGCACCAGUGUCACACUCCCCAAGGGGGAUGUCCCCUGCUGGGAUCGUCAUGGGACCUACUUGCAGCAAGCCCAGGCGUUUGAAGCCCUUCCCAUGAGGGAGCACAUUAUCUGGACUUUGGGAUUAAGACUCAGGGAGAGGGCAUGGGACAGGUUAAGAUUUCACUCUCCCAGGAGAGGAAAAUCUGAGGAUUCUGUCCACAUUUGAAGCCACAGAGAAGACUCCUCUUUCCUUGAUGCCGUUCACUUCCUCUCUUCUCUUACCAAAAAUAUACUUGGGAGUGCUUGCAGGAAGGAGAACACAGGGCCUUGGGGUGAAAAGCUUUCCUUCAGUGCCCAUGGCUCCAAACCUACUUGCGUCCUCUGAGGCAGGUUCAGGCGGCCAGUGGUGCAAUCCUCAGAUGUCAAUGCCAAAUGAGGCAGCUCCUUACAGCCUCCUGUAACAGCUCUCACUUCUCCAGAGCCCCUGAGGGUCCAGGCUCUGGGCUAACCCCUCCACAUGCACUACGUCCCACAUGAAGGAAGUCACUGUCUGUAUCCCCAUUUUAUAGACGAGCACACUGAGACUCCUAAGUAGUCGUCACUAGCUCAUAAAUAGCUCUUGUUCCUCUUAAAACACUAUGACUAACUGCAUUUUAUGUUCAUUUUGGCUGGAGUCUGGGGAGACCUCUGCAUACCAGGCGGCAGGACUGAUGCUCAGCUCUCUGACCAACGGAUGCUCAUGCCCAGCCUCACAGUCGGUCCAACGCCUCACACCGGAAGACAGGCGAGAAGGUGGAAACGCUACCACACCGGGGGAAUUACAAAGACCUGCCUAUGGCGGCAUGGAGCCAAGAUUAAACUCACGUCCAUCUCGGCUUCAGAGCUUAUGCCAAGCGGGAGGGGACACGGUCUGGGUAACCCAGGCUGAGCAGACGGCAGGCCAGGCCGGCUGCUCCGGCUCUUGGGGUGAUUUCCCCGCCCGCCGGCUUCCUAAGCGCACGAACCACACUCCCGAGAGAGCAGUGAACGCAUGCGUAAGGGGGGACAGCGGUAGCCACGGGGUCCAGCGCAGCCACAAACGGCAGCCUGUUGAGGGGUCGCAGCAGCGACAGCCGCUCGCCUCCAGCUCCAGUCGGGACGCUAAGAACGCGAGGGGCUAUGGUCCAGCGCCGCACUCGCUUGAGGGCAGAGGUAAGCCCGUACUUCCGUUACUUACUUCCGGUGAAUUCCGGGCGCCGCCGGAAACAGAAGGGGAUGAAGCAACCGAGCCGCCUGGGACCGGAAGUAGCAUACAGGGCGCCGCCAUUACAGACCGGAAGGAGCGGCAGGGCGCCGCCAUUAUGGGUUUGGCCUAAAGGGAAAGGGGCCGCUUGGCCGCUCUACGACCGGAAAAAAAGAGGCAAGGAGGGCUGGGCGCCGCCAUGACAACCUGACACCAGAAAAGGCGGGGUGUGCCUACCUGACUGAUCACCCACUGGCACCGGCCUCGAGAUUAGCCCUGUCCUCAGGCCUCAUCUCUAAGACUCUCUGGUCAAGAGACCUUCUCCAGGCCAAGACCUCACCUCUUGGGCCGCUAAACCUCACCUUUGGACCUCCAAACCCAUGUAAGGCUCCCAGGUUCUCUCCUUAGAACUCUAGAUCUUACUUCAAAGGCUCUCAGCUUUCUCUGCAUGAUUCCCGGGCCUACUGGAGGAUGCCUAGACUCCAAGACCCUUCCUCCAGGACCCCCAAGGCCUGCAUUAGAAUAAUCAGACCUCCUUUUAGCACCUCCACUAUCUCCGCAGAAGCCCCAGCCAGCUGCACAACCCCCAGGGCUUAUGCCUCACUUCUACACCUCCCUGACCCUACCCCAGGAUCCUUCAGUCUCCCAGAUCUGUACAAGACCCCUAAUCU
Non-coding RNA from Equus caballus (horse), 4567 nucleotides. NCBI's taxonomy places the organism in Eukaryota, Metazoa, Chordata, Mammalia, Perissodactyla, Equidae. The record is from RefSeq and is a predicted model, not a curated record.